Molecule: long non-coding RNA, 247 nt
Organism: Hibiscus syriacus
Lineage: Eukaryota; Viridiplantae; Streptophyta; Magnoliopsida; Malvales; Malvaceae
Exons: 3
Source: RefSeq, a predicted model, not a curated record
UAGAUUCUGUUGCAGGGCUCAAGCAUGACACAGGGUUGGCCGCUGAGUGGUCCUCUGAUGAACAAUAUAUAUUGGAGGAUGGCCUUGAAAAAUAUAAAGAGGCGCCGAAUAUUUUGAAGUACAUAAGAUUGCAGCUACUUUGAGUGAUAAACCGUACGUGAUGUUGCUUUGAGGUGUCGGUGGAUGCAAAGAAAGCGGAGGAAGCCUGAAGAACAUAAUUCAGGAAAAAAAAGUGAACAGUAGAAAG